This is a long non-coding RNA of Thunnus maccoyii (southern bluefin tuna), 2373 nucleotides long. RefSeq lists it as uncharacterized. Lineage: Eukaryota; Metazoa; Chordata; Actinopteri; Scombriformes; Scombridae. The transcript is spliced from 3 exons. The record is from RefSeq and is a predicted model, not a curated record.
UCAUCCUGAAAAAUAGAGCUGCAUCUGUCACAUUGUCAUCCUCCUCCAUCUGAAUUACCUACUUCAAAUAUUUAAAACGGGGAGGGGAAAGAAAAAAAAAAAAAGGUUUGGAUGAAAAAGUCUCGCCUGCCCAUUACUCCAAACCCAACUAGUAAUCGGCAGAGGUGUUGUCACGGAAACCGGCAGCCACUUUUAACAAUCAAACAUGCGUGACAGUUCAUUUUCGCUUCUGGAUUAGAAGUGUGAGCGCCGACGUGCGAACAGACAUCAAUUGGAUGGCAAAGACACAGACAUUUCACGACUAGAGGCACAGUGGAAAGAAUUAGCAACUACUAAUAAGAUCAGUGGGCGGCAGCUGUUCACUCACCAUCUUCAACAUCUGCUUAUCAUUUCGAACAAUUAAGGAAUUUAAAAUUCAGAUGCAGCAAUUCCGCAGCGCCACAUAACAAAAUAUUUACAUACUGGAGUUGCAGACAUGGAAAUCACAUAUCGAUCCAUCAUUUCUUCCUCUGCCUGUCAUCUCUCCCUGCAUACUGAAGAUAUCCUGCUUCUUUAAUAUGCACUUCAAUAUAAUGUUCAUGCAAAUCAUGUUAAAUAUUCAAUUCCACUCAGGCUGCCUAAGAGAUUCAUAAAUGUGGGCAAUGAAAAAUGUUAGCAUGGGUCAUAUUCGGGCCAGCCAUUGUGAAUUCAAAGGUUAACAUCAAAACCAUUGUACCAAAGAGAUUGACAGACGUGGUUAUGUGCAGAUAUUUCCAUAUUGCAUAAAGGGUUAUGGUCAUGUCUAGUCUCUUGGAGGCAUAAAGUACUGUACAUGAAUACACCUAUAUUCAUACCUCCAGCAUGGUGAAUAUGCACCAUACAUGUGCGUGACCGUGAUUGAGGAUUACAGCGAGAGACCAACCAGUAAAGUUAAAUAUAUGGUGUGAUUGCCAAGCCGUGACCUGUGUGAGAAAUAAAUUACAAUGCUGACAGAACAUCACAUCCUCUUAGCCUGGGGAGAAGCUGUAAGACGAGGUCCUCUGUGACACCAUUUCUUUGCGGAUUGUUAAAUGCCACUAUUUGAUCUUUUCCAUUUAUGAGUCAUAUUUUUUUCUGCUGCCCCUGAGCACUAUGCUGUGCUAAGCUACAUAGGACAGGCCAGUGAAACACUGAAACAACAAGCGACCUCCACCAUCGCAUUAUAGUUUCCAGUGAAUCUCCAAAGCAGAGUCUGAAGUUGUCUGACCUGUCAUGUUGAUGACUGAUUUUAGCAACAAAAAAAAAAGAAAUUGCAUUGAUUCACUCUUUUUUCCUUCGUCUUUAUUCCUCCUGAUGACAGACUCAUAGUCUCUCUUCCUCUCCCUUUCACACAUUCGCAGGCUGCCACCAACACAACAUACAUAAAGACAGUGGGAGAUGUCGAACACAGAGCAAAGAUUAGAGCUAUCUGUUGGAACAUUUUAUGUGUUCACUCUUUGACUUGUCUUUUUGUUUGGCGAAGGCUGCUCUCCCGCUGUGCCUGCCCUACGUUGGCUUCUCUUUUCUGUUCCAGAUGUACUCUCCACUUCAAAUAGCAUGGCGUAUUCAAUUUGACGAGCCCCGAGCUGACAGCCUGAUCGAGCCUGGUUCUUACCAUUCUGCAUCUCUUUCUUUUUCUUUUAUUUCCCCCUGCGUCUGGAGAGCUCCUCCCCAGAGAGCAGCACAACACCUCCUGUCACCUCACCUUCCAGUGCCCGCCGCCUCUCUCUGCCACUCUCACCUGUGGUACAACACUGCCCCCAAAGUCAACACCGAUCCCACUCAGUGGAAAUUGAGGGGGAACAUGAAUGAGCCGUGUGUUUGCUCACAGUCCUUUUGAGGAACCUUACAGCGAGAAGUGCCUCAAUUGAAAGCAGGAGAUGGAUUGGAGACCUCAGCAAUGUGCCUGGCAGUCAGUCAGGGCUGCACUGGGACUUUGGUUCCCAAACCAUCACAGGAGAGCUCCCUUCUGAUUUGUUUUGUUCAGGUUUGCUUUCACUGUUAAGACGUGGUUGUUACCGCAAAGUGUGCAGACCAUAAUAUAUGUAUAAGGGAGCAUGUACUGUACAAGCUUCACUUACUGUACAUACAUGUGUGCUCAGAGUCUUCCACAACCACAAACAAUUGAUUUUCCCCACAUGUACAUCAUCACUGCAGCAUAUUUGUCACUUAGGGAUGAUAAAAUGGGAGCACGCAGCUUACUACCACUCCCACCAAACUGUCUACUCUCAGAGUAGCAGCACACUUCCUCACAGUGCACAUUAACACAGGCAUUGACAGCUGAUGGAGAAGCAGUGGCCUCAUCGUGUCGCUGAAGUGAAGAGGAAUGAACAGUGUUGUUUACAAGAUGUCAAUAAAUGUUUUGAGUUAUUGAUA